AACAGACAUUUUCCGACUGUGGGUCUGCGUCCUCAAGGGCACAGAGCUCCGCGGAGCCCCGCCCUUGGUCUCGCCCCGUAGGUCGCCGUCGGUUGCCUAGCAACCCCAACACCUCCCACACUCUCAGGUGAGGCAGCAGCUGUCCCUGAGCCGGCGAGUGCUUGAACGAUGCCCCUCAGGGCCCGCGGCGCCCGGGGACGGCGACCGGGAGCGCUGGGCUGCGUCGCGGGAGACCUCAGACGUCGCAGGGCCGGCAGCAGGGCUUCUCAUCUUUAAAGUGGCCUUGUCAGUGCCUGCUGAGCAGUCGGGUAAGGAAGUGAGGGCAUGGAGGGAGCGUGCAGCACACACGCCAGGAGCAUCAUCGCUGGGCCCGGGAUCCACUGGCUGGCCCCUGCUACUGGUGGCUGCACAUGAAUUGUUUGGAUAUUUGAUCUACAUCUUGCCUGGUGCAGACACAGCCGUUGCCUUUGUACCUGGAGGGUUACCUCCGUGUGAGGGAUGUCUCAACAUCUGCCCAUCACAGUCCUCAGGGGUGUCUUCCAGACUCCGUGAAUCUAACACCCGUGCCAAGCAUUUGCACUUCCCUGCGUGCCUUCAGGAUGCAAGGCAGAGGGGCAAGCUAGUUACAAAAUGUAACUCCCAACAGGACUCUUUUUAAUUAUGCCUGCCAUGAUCAAGAGUGACUUUUUAUCCUUCCAUCAAAUGAGACACCCUAAUUUAUGAUUAUUGCUGAGCUUUAAAAAUAAAGACAACACUUAAAAAUGCUCCUGUUGUCAUUGUCUCUUAUUCUUCUGUCAUUUAGCUGGGUGGAAGCAGGUGCUACAAGGGGCAGAAGUGGCUAAACUUUUUCCCUUCUUCCUCCUCUUUUUCCUUUUAUACCUGGAGAAUGUUUUCUUGUCCUUACUUUUCGCUGGUUAAGAGCCUUCCUCUUUUAUUGCACUACCUUUUAUCGCUAUGUAACUGAGUGCAUGAUUCCUUAAUUCUGCUCUUCUUCAGGUCUGAUGACGACAUUUGUCUGGAAGAAUUUCUCCUCUUUCCAGAUCCUGCAGCCACCCUUCGUAAGCUUUAGAUAACAUCACUCUGAGGCAAGGUGCGGCACUGAUGUGACCAAUACGGCAGCAGGGACACACAGACAAUAGCUGCAGAUACUAGGCUCCUGCUACCUGUGCCGACUACUUACUCCUUCUCAGUCUCCUCUGCAGGUUGCUGCCAGCUUCCCUGAGUUUCAUGUGGGCAUAGCCUGGGCACAGCCCUUGACUUCCUACUCUUCAAUCUGCACUUGCUCCCUUGGUGAUCUCAUUCAGUUUCAUGCUGUAAAUCUCUUGUACAAUCUCAUGACUCCAAAGCUAUCUCUUAGCCUCAACUUCUUUCCUAAACUCCAAUCUUAGGUAUCUAACUACC
Molecule: non-coding RNA, 1401 nt
Organism: Oryctolagus cuniculus (rabbit)
Lineage: Eukaryota; Metazoa; Chordata; Mammalia; Lagomorpha; Leporidae
Source: RefSeq, a predicted model, not a curated record